CAGUGUGGAGCUGAAGGAGAUCCACACAUGUAAACAUUGAAACAGCAGAGGAUCUGUUCACAGUCAGAACUGUUACAGAGCUCCAUCCUGAAAUGGGUGUUUGGAGAUGAGGGUGAGAGUCACACUGAACAUGAACAGAGCAGCAGCUCCAGAAGGUAAAUUGAGGCGUGUCUGCUAAUUAUAUGUAAAUGAGGUACUCGUGUACAGGCGCUUGUUUCCACCUCUGAAGAUUCAUCAGUUGAGCUCAAAUCAGAGCUUGUCUCUGUUUUCUUACUCCAGUUUCCUGAAUCAGAUUCAGAGUAGUCUGUCCUUCAUUCAGGGCGGUCAGAUCUGAGCUCUUCUCUACACAAGUUUGAUGAAUAAGGACACAAUGUGAAUGAUGUCCAGCACUGUUCUUUACACUGCAGUCCACUCAGGCAGUCUGAGAAUGAAUGAGCAUUGUGAGGUCCUGCCUGUGUGGAUCAGAGCUCUUUUAAUGAUGGACAGACUCUACUGAAGCUCUACCAGCUCCUGUUUGUGGAGGAUUAGUAGGUUAGUAGGCAGGUUAGUUAGGGUUCUUGUGAAAUGUGUGAUGAACCAAGUAGGGCAGUUUUCUCAUCAUGCCCUGUGAAAAUAAUAGCUUUGGAGGUCAGUGCUACACUUUCUCUCAAAGGAAUAUUACACUACUUUAUUAUAGUAGCCCUUUGGAUUAUUAGGUUACUGUUUAUAUUAUUAACAGGUGGUCAGUAUCUGUACUGGACUACAUUUUAAAGUGACCCUCUCAGCCCUGUUAGUCACACUAGUUCAUACAGUCUGUUCACUGAACCAGGUUUAUGGAGUAAGACUCUGAAAUGAUUUCUGCAUGUUUAAAUUGUUUUUUUUUAAUCUAAAUAUUGUAUGUAAAUAUUGUCUUUAAUACAUUUCACACACACAGUGUGAGAAUAUGAACAGUAACUAAUUCUACAAACAGCUGCUACCUUGAAAACAGAUCAACACCUGCUGAUUUUCUCUUCAUGUGUGCUCGUGUUCAUUCUUAAUCUUCUCUGUUUACAGAAAGGCAAGAACUGAGAAGAGAAAGGACAGUAAAGGAAGAGCUGAUGAGAGCAGUGGAAGAACUGAUAAGAGAAAGGACAGUAAAGGAAGAACUGAUGAGAGAAAGGACAGUAAAGGAAGAACUGAUGAGAGCAGUGGAAGAACUGAACACAGAAAACGAAGAACUGUAAGGAGGGACAUAUCAUUAGGAGAAGUCAGAAGAGAAGCAGUGUGAUGACUUGUCGGUGGCGAUGGGUUUGCUGAAUUAAAGAGGCCUACAGGACUCGUAGAAGAAUAUAACAGAUGUCUGAACUCUUUAAAUAUUUUUAAUUAUUUUUACUGUCUGAAAUGUUUUUAAGGCUGUUUUUCUAUUUGAACCUUUUCAGUGUUUUAUGUCGACUCAGAUCUCUGAGUCAUGGUUUUCACUUUAUAUGUGAAAACAUGAAGCUCAGAAUCUCAGACUCUGUCUCACACACACACCGACACACACACACACACACACA
Molecule: long non-coding RNA, 1514 nt
Organism: Colossoma macropomum (tambaqui)
Lineage: Eukaryota; Metazoa; Chordata; Actinopteri; Characiformes; Serrasalmidae
Exons: 8
Source: RefSeq, a predicted model, not a curated record